Long non-coding RNA from Salvelinus fontinalis (brook trout), 5086 nucleotides. RefSeq lists it as uncharacterized. The record is from RefSeq and is a predicted model, not a curated record. Lineage: Eukaryota; Metazoa; Chordata; Actinopteri; Salmoniformes; Salmonidae. The transcript is spliced from 3 exons.
CAGUCAGUGUAGUCAGCUCAGCUUUCCCCAUUGAGACCGUGUCUGUACCUCGAUCUAGGUUGGGCAAAACUCAACAUGGCGGUGUUCGCUUUAGCAAUCUCACUGGAAUAAAGAUCUCAUCCAUUCCUGCCAUAUCUCAAAAUAGGGCUACUUAAUGUUAGAUCCCUCACUUCCAAGGCAGUAGUAGUCAAUGAAUGGAGGGAGAGAGUAGAGAGAUUUGCAUUUUUUUCAGCAUGAUUUGACAAAAAUAUAGAUUUAGAGAUAGAUUAACUUGGAUUUUUCCGCAAGGUCAUAUACAGGAUAUUACCCUCCACAACAUAACCAUCACUCCAAAUAAAAACUCCAAACCUGCAACCUGAUUUUGAACAAAAUUACCUGGAAGGAUUCCUACUAUCAAAGGUUCUUAUUUCCAAGGACUUUACAGCUAAUGCUCUGGCAAACCAACAACCAGCAAACGAAGCACAACAGAAACCCGAAAACACCAUCCAACCUGGAACUGAGCUGUGUCUGGCUCCAUCAUCUCCUGUGGGCUGAACACCUUCUGGCAAUGGGACAGGUGGUGCCAGCCGGACCUUUCCUGAACCGCCGUUGAUGUUGCCAUGGUUACCUGGAAUGGCCCCCUCCAUCUUGGCUGAUUCCAUUUUCUCUCGUGGACACGUAUUUUGACCCAGUCUCCAACCUCCACAGGCAGGCAGUCGGGGUCCUCACCUGGUACCUCCUCCUGAGCUUUCCUAGUGUGAUAGUGGAGAGAUCUGACAAUAGUAGUUAGCUCUUUCAUGUACUCCAAGUGUUCUACUUCAGCUAGAGUGAGGUCUAUUUGUCUGUCAGUCAUGGGUCUGUGGUACGGGAACAUUCAUGGGUCUUCUUUUCAACAUUUAAUGUGGUGUACACCCCAGGCCUUUAUUAACAUUACUGCACAUUUUCCUUAACACCAGUGGUAAACAAUCCAACCAAGAUUUCUUGGUGGAGUGGCAUGCCUUAGCUAACCCUUGUUUAAUGGAUUGGUUAGCUCUCUCAGUAACCCCAUUACUCUGGGGGUGGUAGAUGGACAAAAACUUCUGGUCCACUCCCAUCAUUAUGGCUACCUGCUUCACUACAUCACCAGUGAAGUGGGUACCAUUGUCUGCAGAUAAAACCUCAGGAACACCAAAUUGCCUCCACCCACCUAGUGAACCUGCCAAUAAGGACUAAACAGUACCUUUUCCUUUCUUUUCUUUCAGCAAGAUUUAUAAAAUCCAUGGCAAGAUGGACAAAUGGUCCUCUUGGCGUAGGGAAAUGACCUGGUUUCAGAGGUGCUCCUUUGGCAAAUGUUAAAUUGCAUGCACGUAGCACAUCGAAACAGAAACUGUUUCACAUGCUGAGUCAAAUUUGGACAAAACCAAUCCAAAGAAAUUGCUUCUAUCAUAUCCCUCCUUUACAAAUGGGCCAUACCAUGGGCCACUUGGCAAACAGAGGCGAUAAGACAAGUCUGUCUCCAAAUUUUAGAAAGAGGGUCUAGUUUACAACCCCGCUGUUGCCAUGCCAAAUGAGAACCAACAUCCAAAGCCUGUUUAGAUGCCAAAUCAUCAAUGUCUUUCCCAACAGUAGCAGAGAAGAACAUGGAGUGGCUAUGACACUUGGAGGCAGCCAAUUUAGCAGCCUCAUCUGUCACGGCGUUACCCAUACUCACAAAACCUUUCCCUCCAGUGUGAGCAGCAACCUUCACAAUAGCCAAAGCAGAGGGCAGCAUCAUAGCCUCCAAAUGAUCUAAAACCAUAGUUCUAUUACGAAUAGGACUUCCACUAGCAUUGUGAAAACCCCUACUCCUCCAGACACCACACCAGGAGGGACAAACCCCUAUUGCAUAAGCAGAAUCAGAGAAAAUUGUAACCCUUUUCCCUUCCCUUUUACAGGCAGUGGUUAGUGCCAAAAGUUCAGCCUGUUGACCUGAGAAAGCAUCUGGUAAUGGUUGUUAUAUGUGAGUGGUUCUAUCAACUGUCACAAUACCAAACUCUGCAUGUUUCUUCCCUGUAGUUUGAUCUAUAUAUGCAGAACCGUCAAGUCAGCAUCAGUCAGGGCAGUGUCAGAGAGGUCAGGCCCAGCCUUCAUUGGUGUGGGACCCACUGUCUCCGCACUGCCUUUGGUUGAAUCUGUUAUGGUGCCCCGUGAUUUGGUUUUAAUCAGGUUCUAUGUAAUGUGGACUGAGUGACUUAUCUGUAUGGUACUGUAGAAAACCCCAGUUCUAUGCCCGUAUACAAGUAGUAGAACGUAACAUAUACCCAACACAGUUCUAUUUUCUCUAACCCCUCUUCUUCUUUAGUUUCACUACAUUUAUUCACUAACCACGCCACUGUAAAUGGUUCCACAUAUGUGUGGUAAAUAACCACAAUUGGUUUCAAUUGUAUUUUAACUUCAGUACGGGGGUCUCCCUGGCUCCUCUCUUGUGGAUGUAAUAGAAGAGUAAACUCACAACAUGUCUUUCCCAAUAGGCAAUUCGCAAAUGUAUCCCUUCUUGUACUUGAUGCCCUCAAUCUCUCACAAAAUGUCACUGAACCCACCAGGUACAACCCCAAAUCCGUAAACACCGGCACCCUCAUAGAUAUCAUCCUAACCAACUUGCCCUCCAAAUUAGAGGUCGACCGAAUAAUCGGAAUGGACGAUUAAUUUUAGUUUUCAUAACAAUCAGACAAUUUUAACAUGAUUUUUUAACCCUUUAUUUAACUAGGCAAGUCAGUUAAGAACACAUUCUUAUUUUCAAUGACGGCCUAGGAACGGUAGGUUAACUGCCUUCAGGUAAGAACACCAUACAUAAAACCAGUCUUCCCUCAGGUAAGAACACCAUACAUAAAACCAGUCUUCCCUCAGGUAAGAACACCAUACAUAAAACCAGUCUUCCCUCAGGUAAGAACACCAUACAUAAAACCAGUGUCUUCCCUCAGGUAAGAACACCAUACAUAAAACCAGUCUUCCCUCAGGUAAGAACACCAUACAUAAAACCAGUCUUCCCUCAGGUAAGAACACCAUACAUAAAACCAGUCUUCCCUCAGGUAAGAACACCAUACAUAAAACCAGUGUCUUCCCUCAGGUAAGAACACCAUACAUAAAACCAGUCUUCCCUCAGGUAAGAACACCAUACAUAAAACCAGUCUUCCCUCAGGUAAGAACACCAUACAUAAAACCAGUCUUCCCUCAGGUAAGAACACCAUACAUAAAACCAGUCUUCCCUCAGGUAAGAACACCAUACAUAAAACCAGUGUCUUCCCUCAGGUAAGAACACCAUACAUAAAACCAGUGUCUUCCCUCAGGUAAGAACACCAUACAUAAAACCAGUGUCUUCCCUCAGGUAAGAACACCAUACAUAAAACCAGUGUCUUCCCUCAGGUAAGAACACCAUACAUAAAACCAGUGUCUUCCCUCAGGUAAGAACACCAUACAUAAAACCAGUGUCUUCCCUCAGGUAAGAACACCAUACAUAAAACCAGUGUCUUCCCUCAGGUAAGAACACCAUACAUAAAACCAGUGUCUUCCCUCAGGUAAGAACACCAUACAUAAAACCAGUCUUCCCUCAGGUAAGAACACCAUACAUAAAACCAGUGUCUUCCCUCAGGUAAGAACACCAUACAUAAAACCAGUCUUCCCUCAGGUAAGAACACCAUACAUAAAACCAGUGUCUUCCCUCAGGUAAGAACACCAUACAUAAAACCAGUCUUCCCUCAGGUAAGAACACCAUACAUAAAACCAGUGUCUUCCCUCAGGUAAGAACACCAUACAUAAAACCAGUCUUCCCUCAGGUAAGAACACCAUACAUAUAAAACUUUCAAUCACUUGUCACCCAGUACCUCAGUACUGACUUGGUUCAUCCUCAUCUAUAACCAAGUUCCUCACACAAGGUUUCAUUAGACCCUCAGGAAUUUCUAACUAUUACACCUGGGAUUCUGUGUCAUUUCUCACAUAUACAUCAUAUUACGGGCUUGUACAUAAAUGUAGGUAUCGACUGUUCCUGUAAUUAUCAACCCCAUGAGUGAGGUGCCACUUACAUACUGGAAUGAGUCAUCAACCACACAGUGCUUUUUCUCAUUUCAGACUUUUGGUUUAACAGGCGUCUGCUUACCUUAUAAUUUGAUGCGCUGCACAGUGGGACGAAGAUCAUCCAGACGCGGCGGACACUCACUCCUGGUUGGUGUGGAUGUUUUGGAUCAGAUGGCACGGCAAUACUCUGUGAAAGGAGGCACCUGAAGCUGGCCUGUCGCUUUGUUCUACAACAUGCUUGAUUUGGCUGCAAUCAAAGCAAACGUGUCGUUCAAGAAAUGCAUGAACAACACCCUUGCCCAUUAGAGACUUCAUCAUGAGUCUGGCAUACGGGUUACGUGAGAGACAUCUUAGGGCCAAGGCAGCAGCAGAGAUUCCACGCAAGCCAAAUUGUGCACAGCUCCCGGGGAGGAGACAGUGCCAGGUGGCCAAAAACACAAAAAACCAAACCCAAGACACCAGUGUCACCUGCAAGCGAAGUGUUUUGUGGGAAGUUUGUAUCAUUUGUAUCAACUGUUAGGCCAAGGAGUAACCGUUAAAUGAAAUCCAACUGAUGCCAUUGGGUGAAGAACGCACGCCAUGUAAGCACGAGCUGACAAUAAUUGACUGCUGUCAUAUCGACACUUACAGUAUAUUCAUUAUAAUGCCAUGAUGAUGUUUAGGUCACUGUUUUCAUCAUUUGACCACAGAUUUUGCUGUCAGUGCAUCUUUGUAGUUGGAGUAUAUAUAUAUAUUUUAAAUAGCGUAAUAAAAAGAAGCUGUUACCAUGUUCCAAAACAUAUGGUUUCUGUUUCAUAGUAGAAUCAAAGUCACUCCACUAAUAAAAUCGAUUGAACAGUUGAUUUUUUUUUUUUUUUACAUAUAGCCUACAGUAACAAACUAAUUUGAAAUUGAAGAAAAAAAUGGUUCUAAUGCUACCUACUGCAUAAUACCUGACACCUUCAUGAACACAACCAAAUGAUUAUUUUACCAAUAGCAUAUAUGAAAUGUAUUAAUUACAUGGUUAGAAUGUUGUGGCGAAAUCCUUCACGGUGCCUUCACCGUGCGCUGCCACUUUAAGAGUGCAUCAGCAGUCAGA